RNAcentral lists this ribosomal RNA (1448 nucleotides) under metagenome. RNAcentral describes it as "bacterial LSU rRNA". It matches the Rfam family "Bacterial large subunit ribosomal RNA", at positions 1463 to 2925 of the family's 2925-position model. The record is from RNAcentral.
CCUGUGGGGACGCAUGUGGAAAGCAUAAGCCGGGAAUGGAAAUACCGGUACAAACGGAAGAGGUGUCAGGCUGGCAAAUCCGCCUGGCAAGCCAAAGACGUGAUGUGGAGCGAAAUAAAAGUAGCGAAGUAUGUGAGCCAUGAGCCGAGAAAAGCCGCUAUUGUUUUAUAUGUGCCCGUACCGUAAACCGACACAGGUGGAUGAGGAGAGAAUCCUAAGGCCGACGGAAGAAGCAUUGUUAAGGAACUCGGCAAAAUGACCCCGUAACUUCGGGAGAAGGGGUGCCCACUUCAGGGUGGGCCGCAGAGAAUAGGCUCAAGCAACUGUUUAGCAAAAACACAGGUCUAUGCGAAACCGUAAGGUGAAGUAUAUGGGCUGACGCCUGCCCGGUGCUGGAAGGUUAAGAGGAGAGGUUAGUCGCAAGAUGAAGCUUUGAAUUUAAGCCCCAGUAAACGGCGGCCGUAACGAUAACGGUCCUAAGGUAGCGAAAUUCCUUGUCGGGUAAGUUCCGACCCGCACGAAAGGCGUAAUGAUUUGAGCACUGUCUCGACAAUGCAUCCGGUGAAAUUGAAGUACCAGUGAAGAUGCUGGUUACCCGCGCCAGGACGGAAAGACCCCAUGGAGCUUUACUCCAGUUUGGUACUGGGAUUCGGUACAGCAUGUACAGGAUAGGUGGGAGACUGAGAAAUUGGAACGCCAGUUUCAAUGGAGUCACUGUUGGGAUACCACCCCUGCAGUAUUGGGUUUCUAACCAGCCGCUGUGAUCCAGCGGUGGGACAAUGCCAGGCGGGGAGUUUGACUGGGGCGGUCGCCUCCGAAAGGGUAUCGGAGGCGCUCAAAGGUUCCCUCAGAAUGGUCGGAAACCAUUUGAAGAGUGCAAAGGCAGAAGGGAGCUUGACUGCGACACCGACGGGUGGAGCAGGUACGAAAGUAGGACUUAGUGAUCCGGUGGCAUAAAGUGGGAUUGCCAUCGCUCAACGGAUAAAAGCUACCCUGGGAUAACAGGCUUAUCACUCCCAAGGGUUCACAUCGACGGAGUGGUUUGGCACCUCGAUGUCGGCUCAUCGCAUCCUGGGGCUGUAGCAGGUCCCAAGGGUUGGGCUGUUCGCCCAUUAAAGCGGUACGCGAGCUGGGUUCAGAACGUCGUGAGACAGUUCGGUCCCUAUCCGGCGCGGGCGGAGGAUAUUUGAGAGGAGCUGUCCUUAGUACGAGAGGACCGGGAUGGACGGACCACUGGUGUAUCUGCUGUCGACCAACGGCAUGGCAGAGUAGCCAAGUCCGGAAGGGAUAAACGCUGAAGGCAUCUAAGCGUGAAGCCCCCCUCAAGAUGAGAUAUCCCUUCCAUAAGGAAGUAAGAUCCCUUGAAGAGUACAAGGUAGAUAGGGCAGAGGUGGAAGCACGGUAACGUGUGGAGCUGACUGUUACUAAUCGAUCGAGGGCUUGAUCAA